UUCGGCUAACUUAGCAAAGUUCUCAUUAAGAUUAUUACAUAAUUAAAAGGACAUAUAAAAUGUUUUCCUCGAAGUGUGACCACUUUAUGUGACGAGAUUUUGUUGUUAUUGUUAAUUUUCAUAUUGCAAACUUAUUUUGUUUAUAUCAUACAUAUCCUGCUACAGUUCGAUUAUUAGAUCUCAUGGUAUCUUUUGUCAAUUUUAUACCAUUCAUUAUGCCUACUAAUAUUUGUUACAAAUAACCGAUAAUCAAUACAAAUACCAAUUGUAAUCAUUGGAAUGAAACUACACCGAAGAAAAAUAUACCAAAAAGUAUGUGUUUUUUAAACUAAAGCCAAAAAUCCACUUCAUAUACUUUAUUUGAAGCCUUCAUCCUAUUCCACCAGCAAUGACUCUCACUGAUGUUAACACCUGUCAUUUGUGUUUUUGGAACAUUAAGAAAACCAAGAUAUUAAGGCUGUCACGAAGGUACACCAAGAACAGAAUGGUAUAGAAUAUGUUACUACUGCUAAUAAAUCAGAAUAAGUGUAGAGGAUCAUAAGACACCAAAGGCAAUCAAGAAUCACGAGGAGGCAUGAAUCAGUCAUUUCAGUUACAAUCGCUUAUUAAUAUUUUUUCAGUCACGUGUUCCAGCACAUAUAGCAAGCAAUCAGCCACAAUUUCUUCCGUUACAUACAAAAUGGCAUUCAUGGGCAGCCUUAAAUCAGAAUAGAAGGGGACAAAUCAAUGCAAUAAAACCAACCAAUAAAUAUCCAUUCUUUCAGUUAUUAAUCAACAAAUAGAGAAUACCAAAAAAUCAGAAUUGUGUCAGAUAUUCAAAACCAUUUAGGCAACUCUGAAGCAGUCACCAGAAUGCCAUGAGCAGUUACGAAUCAGCAAUCAUGGGCAGCAUUCAUAGGCAGUUUUAAUAUUAAAAUCAGAAAGCAAAAGUCAUGGGAUAUGUAAGCUUUUCAGUUGGUAAUUUGAAAGGUUUCUGCGGUGACUCAUACUCAGCUAUAAAUAAUAGUUCCAGGAGGAUAUUGCUACAUACAUACACUCAGUACAAGCAGAGAGCAUUCCAGAGAAACUCAGUAAAAGAGAAAAGAGGAGAGAGUAUACAGUUAUAGUGCAAUAAAAAAGCUGUAGAGAGAACAUAAAAUGCAUGAAAAAGCUUUCAGCAAGACAAAGAGAUCAUCCAGAAUUAGCAUACACACAUACAAACCACAUAGUGAUAACAAGGAAACAUUAGGAGCAUACACAUAUACGCAGUGACAAGGGACCAGAAUACAGGAAAUUCAGGAAGAGACCAUAACGGAGAAAAGAUAACACAUAUUUUUUAAGCAUCACAUAUAGUGCAGAAAACCCAGAAACAAGGACAAAAACCGCAAUCCAGAAUACACACGUGGAGAUCCAACCAAUAACAUACAACAUCCAUAUUAUUGAAGCAACUCCGUAAAAAAUCACACGUCAUACCAGGUAAUAUUUCCUUAUUCAGCUUCUAAACUGGUUUUCUGUCCUUAUGCCUAUUUUGUACUACCAUGUUCAUACAGUUACAUAGAAACACACUGGAUCAAAUAAAACAACAUAUCACGAUAAUCUGAAAAAUAGUUUUGACUAAUUUAGGAAUAAUCGUUACCCAAACUCAUUUGUCAUAAGCCUAUCUUCAAGCUACAUAAGCAGCAAAGAAUUAAGACGACAUUGCAAUACAUUGCACUCUAGACCCUGCUAAAUGCUAAUCCUACAAUUAUAAAUCCCAUGUAUAUGGUCCUGUUGUUAUCAUUAUCACUCAUUGUGCUAAGUUACGAAUCUGUAUUAAUCAUUGACAUCAAUAUGCAUUAUAUGACGAAAUAGAAAACCCUUUUCAGUAAUUUUUGUUUCAAGAAAACCUAUCAAUCUUAGUCUUUUUUGCAGUAUAUAAUAUCGAUAAUUCUAAAAACACAAAUACAAGAGUCUAAAGUAAAACAAAUUUAGAAACAACAAGAUAAUAAUAAUGCUAAACAAAAGGGGUAUAGUUCGUUACCGACCCGAAGCUACUUUGAUCUGGCCGUAAAUCACCCAUGCGCAUGAUCCUCUUUCAUCGCCACGAGCCUCUGUUACCACUGAGAGUCACCUUGAACCACCGUAAACCCCUACCUCAAGAGAUACCAUUCUUCCAUCCUGAAUCCAUUAAACCACCGCGAUCCGAACCUUUGUCACCACCGAAAGUUAUCAUGUACCUCAAGGGUGAUAACGAGAAUCAGAAACAACAUAAUAAUGAUAAUGCGAAACGAAGGGAGUGGAGUUCAUUACCGACCCGAGGCCACCUCGAUCUGGCCAUAAAUCACCCAGGAGCGUGAUUCUCCGUCAUCACCGAGAGUAACCGUGAAUCGCCACUAAAGAAAGGACCUCGUCGUCACUGGAAAUGGAACCGAAGAGGAGACAACACGACUUAGUGCCCGUGUUGCAUAGUGGGGAGACCUUGUUCGCCGUUUGUUGUCGUCGUGUCGUCCCUCAACCUCCGCCGCUGCCAUUGAAGGUGGAGAAGAAGAGGAGAUUUGGGGAUUUAUCCCCAUUCUCCUAAACUAGGGAUUCUAUUCCCUUAUUCACGUGAAACAAAGGGGUAACCCCUUCCUUUUUUUCUUUCUCCCUUUUAACUAAAUUG
RNAcentral lists this long non-coding RNA (2620 nucleotides) under Lupinus angustifolius (narrow-leaved blue lupine). RNAcentral's name for it is "long non-coding RNA (LANG_LNC000067)". Lineage: Eukaryota; Viridiplantae; Streptophyta; Magnoliopsida; Fabales; Fabaceae. The record is from RNAcentral.